This is a long non-coding RNA of Cercocebus atys (sooty mangabey), 2013 nucleotides long. RefSeq lists it as uncharacterized. The transcript has 3 exons. Lineage: Eukaryota; Metazoa; Chordata; Mammalia; Primates; Cercopithecidae. The record is from RefSeq and is a predicted model, not a curated record.
UUGGGGGAAGUCUAACCAGAUGGCAGAGGCCCAAGUGAAAGUUUUUCUUUCAGGAGAUGCUGGGUCCUGGUUAUGGGGCAUGGGCAUGGGGCAGAUGUGCCCACCCGGCACCCCUGUGGGGAAUCCGGUUCACUUGCAUCUCUGCUGAGAGGGGAAGUGGAAGCUCCCACAGGUCAGGAGAGGUGGGACCCACUUCACACCUGGCUGUGUCUCUUGUGCAGCCUGGAGACUUUCCCUCAGACCACACCACACCUGGCUGAAGAGGAGCUGACCGUGGUGCCAGGCUCCGCCACCCCCAGUGAUAGUGCACACCCUCAGCAAGCGUGCCCCGUAGAAGGGCUCUGAGCCAAGGGCCCUGGAGACCCUGCUUCUAAAGGGGCGCCCCUGCCCCCGGCUGGACUGCCAGGAAGGAGGGCGCCUGUCUGUCAUCCAAGGAGCAGGGUCUUGCUCCCAAACGGCUAGGAGCCCCACGCAGCUAGCAGCGGAAAAGGCGAGGAGAAGGGGGCACUGCAGAGAGCACUGGUCAGUGUCAUUACAAACUCAUCCACACACACUUUAAAGCCCCGUGAUAUUCCGCCUUAAGGAUCCACCGUCGUGCACUCACCCGCCUCCUGCUGCUGAGGGCCCCGGGCUGCUUCAAGACCCAAAUACGUAAUCACCUCUUAGAUGAGGUUCCUAGAGGCGAGCCUGCUGGGGUGAGGCACGAGUGCCGCCGUCGCUGUGAGCCUCGCAUGCCUGUGAGUUGCACACUCCACCUUGGCGGCUGAGCGCCACCUCAGCGUCCCCAGGCUCUGGCCCCCUGGGAGUGCCUUCCGACCUCCCCUGGACGUGGCAGCCCCUGUUCUCCCUCCAUCUCACACCCUCGCUCUUGGCACUGGCGGAGCUGCAGGUCGUGAGGGCUGCCGUCCGAGAGUCCCUGCCUGGGAAGUCUGGCCCUCUGAGCCUCGUCUGCCACCGUGGAGAGCCUGGCCGUGUCUCCGUGCUGCAGCGGCCCCCGAGGGAGUGGAUCUGUGAGCCCCAGAGCCUCGGCAACUCGGGGUGAAGAUGUCACACGUGGGAGGCUGAUGGCCAUGCCUGAUGGUGUCCAAAGGCUCUGAGCACGUGAGCCCCUCUGGGGAGGCCUCUUAGACGCAGAUAACAGCUGCCAUUUGGAAAUCUUCAGCAAUUACACUAAGUGCCUGCUGCGCUGGUUAAAGAAGCUGUUGCGAUGCCAUGCUGAACUGCGUUUGCACGUGAUGCUGUUUGAUCUAGUUCCCACAACAAUCCUGCCAGGUGCCUGUUAUCUUCCCUGCUUCAUGAUGAAGGACCCAGAGAGCCCAGAGAGGCUGAGGAACUCGCCGUAGGCUACAUAGCUACUUACAGGUGGAGUAGAGAUUUAAAGAGUUCCUUGAUGCUGACCAGGGGCUAGCCACCUUCCUUCAGAGUGAGACCCUGGGCUGUGCCAGGAUUCAGACAGGGCUCUGCCUCUCACUAACUGUAAUGUGCCCUUGAGCCCAUCAGGUGACCGUUCUGUGCCUCAGUUUCCUCAUCAAGGACAUGGGAUUCUUGGGACUGCUUGAGUUAAUGCAGGUAAAGCGCCUACAACAGUUCCUGGUGCACAGGAAGCGAUCAUUUCACUCAGCCCCUGCUGCUCUUCAGGCCUAGGAUCUCAGGUUGUGUUUUUCUGCAGUAAAAAGCCUGGCGAGUGAGCUCACUGAGCCCCUACGGUUUGAGCUGAGCAAACAGGUGAGAAACGCUCUGUCAACACCAUGUGCUGGGUGAGGGCCGGGCCACCUGUGCACAGGUUUUGGUGGGGUCCUCUGGGGCUGGUGGAGGAGAGGAGGGGGCUUCUGGGGGAAUCCUGAGGGACUGGGGUCAGGCCCAGAGCUGAGUGCAUGGAUAGGGCACUUGCUAGACAGAGCCUGGAGGGGCAGGCAUGGGGAAGUGCUCUCUUUCACCAGAUCCUUGACUGUAGCUUGCACACAUGUUACUUGCUCUGCUAAACAAUUUAUUAUACACUCUGCUCAAAUGGUA